RNAcentral lists this ribosomal RNA (465 nucleotides) under uncultured bacterium. RNAcentral's name for it is "partial 16S ribosomal RNA". It matches the Rfam family "Bacterial small subunit ribosomal RNA", at positions 338 to 795 of the family's 1533-position model. The record is from RNAcentral.
CCUACGGGAGGCAGCAGUAGGGAAUCUUCCACAAUGGACGAAAGUCUGAUGGAGCAACGCCGCGUGAGUGAAGAAGGGUUUCGGCUCGUAAAGCUCUGUUGGUAGUGAAGAAAGAUAGAGGUAGUAACUGGCCUUUAGUUGACGGUAAGUACUGAGAAAGGCACGGCUAACUACGUGCAAGCAGCCGCGGUAAUACGUAGGUGGCAAGCGUUGUCCGGGUUUAUUGGGCGUAAAGCGAGUGCAGGCGGUUCAAUAAGUCUGAUGUGAAAGCCUUCGUCUCAACCGGAGAAUUGCAUCAGAAACUGUUGAUCUUGAGUGCAGAAGAGGAGAGUGGACCUCCAUGUGUAGCGGUUGAAUUCUUAGAUAUCUGGCAGACCACCAGUGUCGAAGGCGGCUCUCUGGUCUGCAACUGACGCUGAGGCUCGAAAGCCUGGGUAGCGAACAGGAUUAGAUACCCUUGUAGUC